Molecule: long non-coding RNA, 524 nt
Organism: Strigops habroptila (Kakapo)
Lineage: Eukaryota; Metazoa; Chordata; Aves; Psittaciformes; Psittacidae
Exons: 3
Source: RefSeq, a predicted model, not a curated record
UCUGAUUUCUGAUGUCAGUUGAAUGAGCUGAAGGUUUAUUAGAAUUACUUUCAGUGGUGGUGACAUUUUUAGCUGAGGUUGCAUGGUUUCAUUUAAACAUUAUUAAACAAACUGGGGCUUGAAUAUUCCCUGGAGGGCUGGAUGCAGCACUAAUCUUCAGUUAAACUGUCUUUAACUUUAUUGGAAACCAUCCAGCUAACAUAGCAUUGAGGAGGUUUGUGUAAGUACAGUUACCUAGACGGAAUGGCACAGUCUGUGACUAUUCCUUUUAAGGAAAAGACCAUUUGUUUCAGUGGUGGUUUUUGGAAUUGGGCAGAUAUGUUUCGAAGAAUUAAAAUACAGUAGCUAAAUACUGAAGCUUGUUUUUAUUCUUUUGAAUUAGAACCUUACAGUAAAAAGUUAGCUUCUGUAGUCUUGAGGUGUGAAGAAUUAGGUGUGCAGUUCCAGUUGUGUUGCUUUCUCUGCAGGAACAUUGAGGUUGCGCCACCUGUUAUUGGUAGGAGUGAUGUGGAGAUGGUUUUUGC